GAGGUAGUAGGUUGUAUGGUU
RNAcentral lists this microRNA (21 nucleotides) under Mus musculus (house mouse). RNAcentral's name for it is "piRNA piR-mmu-6705203". Lineage: Eukaryota; Metazoa; Chordata; Mammalia; Rodentia; Muridae. RNAcentral also lists the same sequence under 1 other name. The record is from RNAcentral.